Molecule: ribosomal RNA, 1397 nt
Filed under: uncultured bacterium
Lineage: Bacteria
Description: partial 16S ribosomal RNA
Rfam family: Bacterial small subunit ribosomal RNA
Source: RNAcentral
AGUGGCGGACGGGUGAGUAAUGCAUGGGAAUCUGCCUAUUAGUGGGGGACAACACGGGGAAACUCGUGCUAAUACCGCAUACGCUCUUAGGAGGAAAGCGGGGGAUCUUCGGACCUCGUGCUAAUAGAUGAGCCCAUGUCGGAUUAGCUUGUUGGUGGGGUAAUGGCUUACCAAGGCGACGAUCCGUAGCUGGUUUGAGAGGAUGAUCAGCCACAUCGGGACUGAGACACGGCCCGAACUCCUACGGGAGGCAGCAGUGGGGAAUAUUGGACAAUGGGGGCAACCCUGAUCCAGCAAUGCCGCGUGUGUGAAGAAGGCCUUCGGGUUGUAAAGCACUUUCAGACGCGAGGAAACGGUAAUAAUUAAUACUUAUUACAAUUGACGUUAACGUCAGAAGAAGCACCGGCUAACUCCGUGCCAGCAGCCGCGGUAAUACGGAGGGUGCGAGCGUUAAUCGGAAUUACUGGGCGUAAAGCGCGCGUAGGCGGAUUGAUAAGUCAGAUGUGAAAGCCCCGGGCUUAACCUGGGAACUGCAUUUGAUACUGUUAAUCUUGAGUAUGGUAGAGGUAAGCGGAAUUUCCAGUGUAGCAGUGAAAUGCGUAGAGAUUGGAAGGAAUAUCGAUGGCGAAGGCAGCUUACUGGGCCAAUACUGACGCUGAGGUACGAAAGCGUGGGGAGCGAACAGGAUUAGAUACCCUGGUAGUCCACGCCGUAAACGAUGAUUACUCGUUUUCGGUUUUUUAGGAAUCGGAGACUAAGCGAAAGUGAUAAGUAAUCCACCUGGGGAGUACGAUCGCAAGGUUGAAACUCAAAGGAAUUGACGGGGGCCCGCACAAGCGGUGGAGCAUGUGGUUUAAUUCGAUGAUACGCGAGGAACCUUACCAGGGCUUAAAUGCAGGAUGACCGUUCUGGAAACAGGACUUUCUUCGGACAGACUGCAAGGUGCUGCAUGGCUGUCGUCAGCUCGUGCCGUGAGGUGUUGGGUUAAGUCCCGCAACGAGCGCAACCCCUAUCUUUAGUUGCCAUCGAGUGAAGUCGGGGACUCUAGAGAAACUGCCUACGCAAGUAGCGAGGAAGGCGGGGACGACGUCAAGUCAUCACGGCCCUUACGUCCUGGGCCACACACGUGCUACAAUGGUCGGUACAGAGGGCAGCUACCAAGUGAUUGGAUGCGAAUCUCGAAAGCCGAUCUCAGUUCGGAUUGGAGUCUGCAACUCGACUCUAUGAAGCUGGAAUCGCUAGUAAUCGCGCAUCAGCCAUGGCGCGGUGAAUACGUUCCCGGGCCUUGUACACACCGCCCGUCAAGCCAUGGAAGCUGGGGGUACCUGAAGUCGGUAACCGUAAGGAGCUGCCUAGGGUAAAACUAGUAACUGGGGCUAAGUCGUAACAAGGUAGCC